Molecule: regulatory RNA element, 97 nt
Organism: Firmicutes bacterium CAG:56
Lineage: Bacteria; Bacillati; Bacillota
Rfam family: SAM riboswitch aptamer (S box leader)
About the family: The SAM riboswitch is found upstream of a number of genes which code for proteins involved in methionine or cysteine biosynthesis in Gram-positive bacteria. The SAM riboswitch acts at the level of transcription termination control. The predicted structure consists of a complex stem-loop region followed by a single stem loop terminator region.
Source: Rfam
CUCUUAUUCAGAGUGAUGGAGAUACAUAGGAUCUGUGAAGUCACGGCAACCCCUUAAAGGAAGGUGCCAACCUGAGCGAGUAUUCGAACAAUAAGAG